RNAcentral lists this ribosomal RNA (309 nucleotides) under Triticum aestivum (bread wheat). Its description in RNAcentral is "partial small subunit ribosomal RNA". Lineage: Eukaryota; Viridiplantae; Streptophyta; Magnoliopsida; Poales; Poaceae. The record is from RNAcentral.
AUGGUUGAACUUGAAAGGCUUGUCAUGUUUCCUGUUGUUUAUCGCCUCAUUGAGUUGGCAUUGCUACUACCGGUAGCGACGGCAACAGUUGAAAGAGCCUUUUCAUCAAUGAAAAUCAUCAAGACUGAGUUGCGCAAUAAGAUGUCUGAUAGAUGGCAUAAUGACUUGAUGGUGUGUUACAUUGAGCGAGAGAUCUUCAAAAGUAUUGAUCUCGGUAAAAUUAAGGAAGAUUUUCAGAAGGAGGGUAGGCCGCUGCCAUUGCCUGGGUCUUCUAGAUGCCAUAAAUGCUUCAUUAUCGGUAUGUUUUAG